RNAcentral lists this long non-coding RNA (6671 nucleotides) under Coffea arabica (coffee). Its description in RNAcentral is "long non-coding RNA (CARA_LNC005444)". The record is from RNAcentral. Lineage: Eukaryota; Viridiplantae; Streptophyta; Magnoliopsida; Gentianales; Rubiaceae.
AGAGCACGGCGUGACGGCUGAAAAGAAACCAGAAAGGAGAGUAGAGGAAAACAAGGGAGUAAGAAAGAGAGAAAACCAGAGGGGAGGGGAACUUGGAGAGAAAAAAGAGAUCCGAAAGCUAGAGAGGGGGACGUUUGGAAGUCUGAAAAAAAAAAGGAGAAGCAAGGAACAGAAAGGAAAAAGCUUCCGGAAAAGAAGAGAGAAAAAGGAGGGCUGAGCGAAGAAGAAACCGAGAAUGUGAGAUGCAGAGACAGUGGUGACGGCGGAAGAUAUAGGAAAACAGAAAGGAAAAGAGGAGGAGCAAGGGGCAAAGGCUGAAUGGAGGAAUCUCACCACCACCUGCGGCUGUUCUUCGAGAGAAAAACUUCUGCUCAGAAGGUAGCACAGUAAGAUUCCUUCUACCCAUUUUCCCUAUAGAUAACUUCUGUUGAAGAAUUAUGAGACUAUGAGAAGUGGAUGGAUAUGUGUUGUCGUUUGGUUUGAGUAUGUGAAUACGGUCAAAGAAGUGUAAUAUUUGUUCCUUGUGUUGGUUCAUGGUCUGCUGCCAAAGGUGUUGCCUUUCUACGUUAGAUCUUCUCGGUUGAGUGUUCAGUAGUGAUUCAUAAGAGUGUAUGGAGAGUCAAGUCUUUGUUUACGGUUCUUGUUACCUGCUGCAACUUUGUCCAUUCGGUCUGGGGUAGGUUGUACGAAAUGCAUUGGCUGCUAAAUCUUUCAUUCCAGAUUUGCAUGUUUUAAUGAUUUUUAUAGGGCCGUGGGAAGGUCGCCUCUUGCUUUAGUUCUGAUUGUUUGGGAAUGGUGUUAGUGAAGUCUUGUGUAUGUGAGAAGAGUUAUGAUCAGCUCGAACCUGGUUGAAGCUUUGUUACUUGCCUUUUUGCUGCCCAAAGCUGUGCCUAUAACCUUCUUGAUAGAAAACCGAGAUAUAAAUCAUUUCUUCUGUGUGCACUUUUUUCUGAUUCAUGUGUUGUUUGAUUAGUUGUUCUGGAAUCUGGGUCGAGGUUUAGCAGAUGGUCAGGCCAUUUUUUGUUUCUGGUUCUUGCAUUCUAGAUGUAUUAAAUCAUUUUUGCUAUGAGCAACUAAAAGUUGCUGCAACAAGACUGGAACUCCUUGUUUGCCAACCGUAAUGUUGACAGAUUGGGGGUCCUUGGCUUGUUGCAGCAGCGUGGAAAGAUCCUUUCUUUUGGGUCGUUGAAGUGGUAGUUGAUUGGACUUUCUUGUUGUUGUUUGCUGCUUAUUUGAGAUAACAUGAACAAUACGUGCUAUGGAGGCUGCAUUUAGACAAACCAUUGCCUUGAAAACCAGGGGAAGUAAAACCAUAUGGCAUGUGCAGUUUUCUUGUUUGGGUUUGAUGCAUUGAGGAACUAGAGUGUCUUGUUCACAUGUAUAGUUUGUCUUGCUCCCUUGUGAUGAUCUCAGUGUUUGGUUGAAGAGUGGAAUGUUCUUGGUUGAAUGUUUAAUGGACCAUUGCAAGUAUCUGAUGAAAGCUUCUCGGCUGCAUUUUGUCUUUUUUUUCCUCCUUGCCUUCUUGGCCUGAAGUCUCUCCGUGAGAAUUAAACAAUCAUAUCUGGAUAUAGAAUUUGGGCAUUUAGGUAAUGUCGGCUGAACAAGUCUCGAGCAAACUUUAUGUAUUUGAAUCUGAAAUUCGAAUUUGGAAGCAAAAAUGUAGCAGGCCUUCACUUUAGGUUGCAGAAAACUUGCGGCACUUUUCCCUUUUUCCUCUAUUGCUGUUUUGCUGUUUGCUUAUAUCCUUGAUGAUCAGAUUCAUUUCCUUUGCUUCAAUCCUGCAAUAAAGUUGCAUGAACCCAGAAUUUGCAGAAGGCCGUGUCCUUCGGUUUCUUUUGUGCAUGAUCUGGAAAAAAAAAAAUCUUUGGGGAAUGCAUAGUAUAUAGUUGUUUUCUGAUGAUAAGAUGCAUGAAGUAUUGUUUUGGGCUCAAAGGAUUGUUGUUGUUGGGACUUUAUCAUUUGCGUUCUGAUAUGGAAGUCAUAGCAGCGGAAAUUGCAGAAACCAGCAAUGAUAAAGAAAGCAUUCUUCGUAGUUUUGCAUGAAAACUUGCAUGAAAAUGUUCUAAGAACUGCAGUCUAGUCCCUUGUUUCUUGGAUAACUCAACUAGGACCCAAUCAAUUGAAUAAUUUCAUCAAUUUGGUCCUUGGCUGCUUUGAUUUUUUUUGCAACUUCAUUGCUUGCUUGCUUCAAUUAACUACCAUGCUUUGUCUAAAUUGCACUUAAUUCAUGAUUUUAAGAGCUUUAUGGUCAAGAGAGUUUGUAUUUGCAUAUUUUCUUUAAUUGUUUCAAAUUAAAUUGGUGCCUUGACCUUUUCUUUAUUUUUGGAGGGUAAAUAAGUUAUUUCACCCCAUUAGAGCUCCAACUCAAGGGAGGUACACCUUAUCCUUUAUUUUUCCCUUUAUUUGACCCUACGUACGUAUAUGUGUCUUAUGUGUGCAAUUGCAUGACUUUAAGUGUUUAUUUUAUUUGUACUUUAUUUAUUUCUUUUGUUGCUUAGUUUUGCUUUAAUUUUGGUUCAAUUUUAUCAUUUGGGAAGCACUCGAAUGCCAAAAUUGUAAUAGUUAGGGAUUUAAUUAUUUUAUUUAUUUUCAUUUCCCCUCUUAGAUUGUAGUAGGCUUCCUCCCGAAUGUAAUAGUUAGGGUCUUAAUUGCUUUAUGUGUUUUGCAUGUCUACGUGCUAUGUGUUUAAUUGCUUCCUUAGGGUUUGGCAUCUAGAUAUGCAUGCUUAUGUGUUAUGUGCUAUGUGAAUUACGUGCUCAUAUGCCUACUCGCUUUAAUUACGCACAUUUACUUAUGUAUGUAUGAUGGAUGCAAAUGCACGUAAUCGUGGCUAGUCCAAUGCUAGUCAUGAUUGUCCCCCCGAGCUCUUGCAAGUCCAAUGCUUGUGAGAGAGCGUUAGUGAAGGACUAGUCCAACGCUAGACCAUUAGGGGCCUUUCGCGCGUUAGAUCAUGAUUGCAUGAUAAAAACACUUCAUUUCAUGCAUAUUUUCACUUUUAGGGCCUUUUAUCAUUUUGUAUGACAUUCCCCUUAUACGUAUAACCCUUAUCCCUAAUUUCCCUAUACACAUAAUAUACCCCUAUGCAUGAUACAUGACAUUAGAAUUGCAUUUCAUUCUAGAAAUAGGAUUAGGGUAGUGCAUUUGCUUGAUUAGAUUAGGGAGCCCCUUAGAUAUGGGAUAUGGACGAGUUUGGCUUUUCUAGCCUUAACACUCUCGUAUUCCCUCUAUUAAAGGGAAAACUGAGUCACGAACAUUAGUCCCCCGUACCCGACAUGAUGCAUUCCUUUAAAACAUGUAUAUUUCUAUAAUUAUUUUAUCAUUUUCCUCUUCUUAGAGUCUCAUAUUUUUUGCAUUAUUCGUGACCUCUCCAAAGGGCCAUUAUUGGGCGUCACAAUUAAUGUGAUUGGUACCAUUCAAGUUUUGAAGAGAAAUUUUGCCCCCCGACACCCUCCUAGGUCUAGGGUUGCAUUCAUAUAGUACGUCCAAAUGUGAUAAAUGCUUUGGUUAAAACAAGAAAAUCUUUGACUGAAUCGCGCAACUAGUCUUGGCUAGGUCGAAAGGGUGCCUUGGAUUUCUAUCCUUGCCUUCCCCUUCGUCAAAUGUGACUCCCGAAAUCUUUUCUUUGAUUUUCGUAGACUAGGAGUCAUUUAAAAGGGGUUUUUUCUAAUUUUUUCUUUUGAUAACUCAUUUUAGGUGACUUGGUACACCUUAACUCUAUACCAAAUGGCGACUCCGAUUUUUAUUUCAAAAACCCUUUUUAAACUAUAUUUUGGGUCAAAUCGUCGCAUUUUCAAGUCCCAUUUAGACCCACUUUCUUUGUAAAUCAAAAUUCAUCUUUCAAAUAAAAAAUUUUCACUUUUUAAACCAUUCAUUUAUAUUUAUUUAAUUUUCUUGUAAAAAAUGGGACGCGACAGCUGGCGACUCCACUGGGGACUUAGAGAGUCCGAGCAUUUGAUUUAGUCAAUUAUUUUCUUCUCUUAACCUUCUCAUAUAUCGCAUUUGGAUGGUUAGGGUUGUAUUUUUCCUUUUUUAGGAUUUUUGCAUUUCGUGCGUAUCAACUCACUCACUCACCCAUUUGGCGUACGAUUAUUUUAAUGGAUGGAUGGUUUAUGUAUGUGAUUCCGCGCUUUGCAUUGCAUUUGGGGAUGGGGGGAUAUUACCCUAGAGCCUCGCGUUGGUUCUUGAUCCCUCCCCUCCAAACGAGCACUAGCAUACGUGCAUACGCUUUAAUUUUUUACCCCUCAUUUAUUUUUCUUUUAGUGGCUUGUCACGCCACUCCACCCUAUUUGGAUUAGGCGACCCACUUGGACGUGUGAUCGUGACACGACGUGUGCGUAGCACGAUCCGAGGGGUCACUCAAUCUUCCGCUUUAAGCUUUGGGUUAAUAGCCUUUAGCUUUUGGUUGAAGGUUGAGUAUUUUUGAUAGAUUCGCUCAGACAUGUAGCCGUAACAUGACGUGUGCGUAGCAAUGUCUGGGGAAUCGCUCGAGCCACCGACAAAGAACCUUGGGAUUGAUGACCCUUGGUUUCCAAGUCUGAAGGCUCGGGGACCUAAAACCUAUCGAGUCUAGAUGCAUUAGUGAGCCAAUACCUCAUGCAUCCAUGAUAGCUUGCCUAGGGUAGAGUCUGUCUUGCCUUAUUAGGGACACUAUUCACGAGGGGAGGGAUCCAACCCCUUUUCCUUUUUAUUGCUUUAUUUCUUUGCAUUGAUUUUAUUGCUUUAUCUCGUUGCUACAAUGUGUUAUGUGUAUUUAUCUGGCUGCACUAACUUUUCUUGGUUUUGUUCCCAUUGCAUUCACAAACCCUAGCAAAUAAGAGGUCUGGCAUGACCUUCUUUUAGAACCUACCCUUGUAGAUAGGCUAUUGCACGUUUAAAGAUUUUGGUAUAUUGCAUUCAUAGAUUAAUAAUUGCAUAUCAUUCUAGGCCUACCUUGGCGUAUAAAGGGUCCUUUUAGGUCAUGAUAUCAUUUAAAUUGUAUGUUUCAUCGCUUUAAUAAACUGGCAUCAUGCAUAAACCCUAGAAGGGGAAUGCUAUUUAGGGGAUCUCGUGUUAGGAAUAAACCACCUUGUGUUUCGGAUACUUAAUCCAAGGAGACUUGCACGUUUACAUUUUGUACCAUCCAAAGGGGUAGUGCACAAGGUAAGGUAGGAUCCGAUCAUUUUCAUAGAGCGAUCUUUGGAAUAUGAGCGUCUAAUAAUCACUUUUUGGCCACUUUAUCAAAAUUGGUAAGAAUCCCUGGUGUAAAGGACAUUAAUUGGAACAAAUUCACCAAUAUUUCCUCACUGUUGAGACGAUAAAUCAAUUGAGGCCAAAAUUUGAUAUUAGAAGGCUCAUAGACUAAUGCAUCGCAAUAAGUUGUUUGAAAUUACCAGUGGAUAGAUUGAUUUUUAAAUAAGCUGUCAAUUCUAUUCAAUCCACUGGACUAUUUUAUUCACCAAUUGCAUCCAGUCCAUUUUAUCAAUUUGUUCAUUUUUAGGGCAAGCUAGUCGAUUUUGAAUUCAUUUGACAAGUUUACCCAUUUUAGGGCAAUCUAGCCGAUUUUGAAUAGACCACCAAUUUCAUUUAAUUCAUUUGAUUAGUUUACCCAUUCUUAGGUCAAUUCAAUCAAUUUUGAAUAAAUCAUCAGUUUCGUUCAAUUUCAUUUGACCAGUUUACCCUUUUUAGGGUGAUCUAGUCAAUUUUGAAUAAAUCAUCCGAUCCAUUUGACCAGUUUACCUAUUUUUAGGGUAAUUCGGUCGAUUUUGAAUAAAUCAUCAUUUCACUUAAUCAAUUGAUUUCAUUCCCUUUAUUUGAUUAGUUUAAUUCAUUUUUGGGUUAUCCAUUCAAUUUUGAAUAAAUAAUCAAAUUUCAUGCAAUGCAUUUGACCCUUUUACCCUUUUAAGGUAGUCUAGUCAAUUUUGAAUAAAUUAUCAAUUUCAUCCUAUCCUCUUGAUCCGCAUAUUCCUUUUUAGGGUUUAAAUCUAAAAUUCACUGAAUAAAUUAGCUGAGGCAUUGCAAUCCUUUUAAGAGUAGGCUCUCUUUCACAUAUCAUGUGUUGAUCAAAGUAAACAAUCUAUUCGGACUUUGUCCUCAAUUUUUUAGGACGAAUGUUUCUUCUCACUCCAAAUUGGCCAAAUUUUUUCAAAUCAUUUUUCACUCAAUCAGUUGAUCGGAUUCAUCAGAUAUUGUAUGGUGCCUACUCUAGAGGAUUGCAUUUUCAUGUUAGGCCUACCCUUGGCAUAAAAGGGCUCCCCCAUACGACAUGCAUACCGAUUUUACAAUUUUGCUUACUAACUCUGGGUAUUUUUCUUUUAUUUUUCCCCCUCCCCCCUGCAUUCAUAAAAAUAUUUCAAUAAGGUGAAAAUAUCUUUCUAUAUCUGAUAACAAUUUUGAUCUGAUAAAGUUUGAAAAUUACAAGUAUUACUUGAUUCUUAGGCAGGCCUUACAAUGUGAAUUCAAAAAUUCAUUUGAAAGCGCUCGUGCAAAACAUCUAAGGGAUUUCAUUGCUCAAAGAAAAAGGGGAUAUUAAGAGAGAAAAUGUGUAUACAUGUGCAAAGGAGUUUUGUAGAAUUUUUCUCAUAUGUAUUGCUUUAAAAUUUUUCAAAACAUUGGCAUUAAUGAAGCUUUUAUUCAGACAAUUAUUGUUUUGUAGGUAUAUUCAUGUACAUUUCAUUGUUUAUUUUUGCUCAUUG